AAGUUCCCGGAUGACUUACUGCUUCCGCCCAGAUUUUUGAGUGCUUUUCCACGGCUACUCAUGAUACUCAUCUAUCCCAGGAGGCCACGCGAGAGGAUACGUCAAUGCACAUAGCUUGCAAACUGCCAAUAAAAAUCACAGAAGAAGAAGAAGAAGAAGAAGAGAGGAUACGUCAAUAUCAACAUCGCGGAGAUAAGCGACGCGGGGGUUUUCAAAUGGACAGGAGAACACGCGUGUGUUUAUCCAGUGGAGAGACGCUCAUGAUGCUGAAUGCUGUCAUCAAAGAAUGGGAACCGCUGUGUUGAGUCGGCAGUAGGGUUUGGGGUUCAGUGCCUGUAAAUACAUGCUUGUAGUUUGAAUAAAGCUGUUUCAUGUGUUGACUUGUA
Non-coding RNA from Pimephales promelas (fathead minnow), 386 nucleotides. The record is from RefSeq and is a predicted model, not a curated record. Lineage: Eukaryota; Metazoa; Chordata; Actinopteri; Cypriniformes; Leuciscidae.